RNAcentral lists this ribosomal RNA (305 nucleotides) under uncultured bacterium. RNAcentral's name for it is "bacterial SSU rRNA". It matches the Rfam family "Bacterial small subunit ribosomal RNA", at positions 335 to 639 of the family's 1533-position model. The record is from RNAcentral.
UGCCUACGGGAGGCAGCAGUGAGGAAUAUUGGUCAAUGGGAGAGAUCCUGAACCAGCCAAGCCGCGUGAGGGAAGACGGCCCUAUGGGUUGUAAACCUCUUUUGUCGGAGAGCAAAAAGCGGUACGUGUACCGCAUCGAGAGUACCCGGAGAAAAAGCAUCGGCUAACUCCGUGCCAGCAGCCGCGGUAAUACGGAGGAUGCGAGCGUUAUCCGGAUUUAUUGGGUUUAAAGGGUGCGCAGGCGGCGAGUUAAGUCAGCGGUAAAAUUUCGGGGCUCAACCCCGACGAGCCGUUGAAACUGGCUU